AAGUGCAUUUCUAAGUGUAACAUGGAAUUGUUUUACCUGUUGUAAAGCAAUUUAAACAGUGUGCUAGCUAGGUUUAAGGAGUACAAUAUUACAACAAAGACCAUGAGUCUUUUACCCCUUUGCGUAAAGACACACGGAGUUGUAACUCAGUGAUACAGCU
Molecule: non-coding RNA, 160 nt
Organism: Artibeus jamaicensis (Jamaican fruit-eating bat)
Lineage: Eukaryota; Metazoa; Chordata; Mammalia; Chiroptera; Phyllostomidae
Product: small Cajal body-specific RNA 1
Exons: 1
Source: RefSeq, a predicted model, not a curated record